RNAcentral lists this ribosomal RNA (484 nucleotides) under uncultured bacterium. Its description in RNAcentral is "partial 16S ribosomal RNA". It matches the Rfam family "Bacterial small subunit ribosomal RNA", at positions 30 to 507 of the family's 1533-position model. The record is from RNAcentral.
AUUGAACGCUGGCGGCAGGCCUAACACAUGCAAGUCGAGCGGAUGAAGGGAGCUUGCUCCUGGAUUCAGCGGCGGACGGGUGAGUAAUUCCUAGGAAUCUGCCUGGUAGUGGGGGAUAACGUCCGGAAACGGGCGCUAAUACCGCAUACGUCCUGAGGGAGAAAGUGGGGGAUCUUCGGACCUCACGCUAUCAGAUGAGCCUAGGUCGGAUUAGCUAGUUGGUGGGGUAAAGGCCUACCAAGGCGACGAUCCGUAACUGGUCUGAGAGGAUGAUCAGUCACACUGGAACUGAGACACGGUCCAGACUCCUACGGGAGGCAGCAGUGGGGAAUAUUGGACAAUGGGCGAAAGCCUGAUCCAGCCAUGCCGCGUGUGUGAAGAAGGUCUUCGGAUUAUAAAGCACUUUAAGUUGGGAGGAAGGGCAGUAAGUUAAUACCUUGCUGUUUUGACGUUACCAACAGAAUAAGCACCGGCUAACUUCGUG